Long non-coding RNA from Bombina bombina (fire-bellied toad), 254 nucleotides. RefSeq lists it as uncharacterized. Lineage: Eukaryota; Metazoa; Chordata; Amphibia; Anura; Bombinatoridae. The record is from RefSeq and is a predicted model, not a curated record. The transcript has 2 exons.
AGGAGGCGUCAGUGCCAGAAAUUUAUUAGUAUUUACGCUCUCUUCGUGACUUUGUCCAGAUGUUUGCUUUGUUACAUGCUAAACAAAAGCCAAAGAAUAAAAAGGUGACCCAGGACUAAAGCUCUCUUUAGAAGAACUGUCACUGGACUUCAGUGCCCACAAUUUACCAGAAGACAACUGGGUACAAUAAAAUAUCAUCAGCAUCACAAUAAUAGUAACAUUGUAAUGUUUAUCAAUAAAAAGCAUUAUUCAUC